Molecule: long non-coding RNA, 292 nt
Filed under: Parus major (Great Tit)
Lineage: Eukaryota; Metazoa; Chordata; Aves; Passeriformes; Paridae
Description: lncRNA (ENSPMJG00000006627.1)
Source: RNAcentral
CUGACAUCCUUUUGUAGGUGGUUUCAGAAGUCUAUUCAACUUGAUUCUAGUAUAAGUUUCAUUUAAAGACUCCUUCAAAACAUGGGAAGAAAUCCCCUCUGAGAAGUCAUCAUGCUUAGUUCAUUUGUCACCAUAUUCUUCUCAUCAUUCUACCUGACAUCUUGAAAGAUUUCUUCUGGCCAUCUCCACUUCACAGAUAAAGGGCAAGUGAAGUCUGAAUCAAAACAACAUCAACCAUUAUUUUAUCUCUGUGUUGUUAUCAUUGUAUGUAUCCUCAUAACUUCUGUCUAAA